Molecule: ribosomal RNA, 780 nt
Filed under: uncultured bacterium
Lineage: Bacteria
Description: bacterial SSU rRNA
Rfam family: Bacterial small subunit ribosomal RNA
Source: RNAcentral
GCUACACAUGCAGUCAACGAGAAAGGGGUAGCAAUAUCCUGAGUAAAGUGGCGCACGGGUGAGUAACACGUAGGUAAUCUGCCAUUAGGACGGGGACAACCACGCGAAAGCGUGGCUAAUACCCGAUGAAUCAGCGAUGCCGCAUGGUAUUGCUGUUAAAUACCGCAAGGUGCCUAAUGAUGAACCUGCGUCCCAUUAGGUAGUUGGUGAGGUAACGGCUCACCAAGCCGACGAUGGGUAGCUGGUCUGAGAGGAUGAUCAGCCACACUGGAACUGAGACACGGUCCAGACUCCUACGGGAGGCAGCAGUGAGGAAUAUUGCGCAAUGGCCGAAAGGCUGACGCAGCGACGCCGCGUGAAGGAUGAAGUCCGUUAGGAUGUAAACUUCUUUUGCAGGGGAUGAAUGUGGCGCUAUAUGCGCCAUUGACCGUACCUUGCGAAUAAGGAUCGGCUAACUACGUGCCAGCAGCCGCGGUAAUACGAAGGGUGCGAGCGUUAAUCGGAAUUACUGGGCGUAAAGCGCGCGUAGGUGGUUUAGUAAGCGAUAUGUGAAAGCCCUGGGCUUAACCUAGGAACUGCAUGUCGAACUGCUAGGCUAGAGUAUGGUAGAGGGGUGUGGAAUUUCCGGUGUAGCGGUGAAAUGCGUAGAUAUCGGAAGGAACAUCAGUGGCGAAGGCGACACCCUGGCCCAAUACUGACACUGAGGCGCGAAAGCGUGGGUAGCGAACAGGAUUAGAUACCCUGGUAGUCCACGCCGUAAACGAUGUCUGCUAGCUGUUG